Molecule: long non-coding RNA, 1006 nt
Organism: Erpetoichthys calabaricus (reedfish)
Lineage: Eukaryota; Metazoa; Chordata; Cladistia; Polypteriformes; Polypteridae
Exons: 3
Source: RefSeq, a predicted model, not a curated record
AGGCCAGUGCUAAUUUUUACAGCACAGUGUCCCUCUCAGUGCACUGGGGGAUUUGGAUCCACACACAACCACAGAGUAAGCACAAAAAACCAUCCAUUUCUUUUCGUUUGUAUAAAAAAAAUUAAAUGCAUAUUAAGUGAAGUUUAAGACUUUUUUCUCUGCCAGCAGAGAGGAGCCACGCUUCUUGCCAUUUUAGUAAUGAGAACAGGCCCCACCGCUGUCCUUUUAACACUUCAAACAGCUUAAACAAAUAGCCACUAUAAACACUGAAAGAGAGCGGACUUUGUAAUUUAAUUUUGAAAGAAUAUUUGAAUAGAACUGAGGGCAAAAAGUGAGCACCUGAUCAUUUGCCCAGCAAAGUCUAGUAGAUAUGUAGUUUUCUUAGCACAAUUCAUCUCAGACCUGUUUCACAAAGGUGCAUGUUUCCUUUGUCUUGAAAGAUCUUCUUGAGAGUCACUGAAUCCACAGAUGGUUUGAAAUUUAUAGAAGCAGGAGGCUCUUGGCAGAUAAGCCAUACAAUAAAAAUGAGGAACAACAGACCUGUUACCAACUGACGGGCUGAAUAUUUUUCCAAAAAACUCAGUUUUGUGAAAAGCAUGCAAAGCAAUAGUUUGUCACAUAAAUCAACUUUGACAGCAGUGACCACAACAGCAGCUGCACAGGGGCGGUGGCAGCAGCAGAUGGAUGGCAGCAGUCGCAGGGUGAUGCAAUACAGUUUGUACCUCUUGUCAUUUUAAGUGGUGGUCCUCCCAGGCGAAUGUUGCUGCAGGUGCAUCAGCUACACAAUCAGCUGAUGCCGUUAUCUCACUUUCGUUUUAGAUCUCGAACUCCAGAUCACUUGCACCAAAAUCGGAAUUUGCAGCAAGACGACACCCACUGAAGGCAAUUGACACCACCCCUAUAAAAGAAUGGAUGCCCCAGAGAAUGGCGUCUCAGAUCGGACCCACAAUAACACUGUAAUCCCGAUUGAUUUCUUUUACAGAAAAUAAAGACCUCUUUUAGUUUU